Molecule: transfer RNA, 71 nt
Filed under: Camelus bactrianus (Bactrian camel)
Lineage: Eukaryota; Metazoa; Chordata; Mammalia; Artiodactyla; Camelidae
Also listed under: 1 other name
Rfam family: tRNA
About the family: Transfer RNA (tRNA) molecules are approximately 80 nucleotides in length. Their secondary structure includes four short double-helical elements and three loops (D, anti-codon, and T loops).
Source: Rfam by way of RNAcentral
GGCAUAUAGCUCAGAGGUAGAGCACGUGCUUAGCAUGCAUGAGGUCCUGGGUUCAAUCCCCAGUACUGCCA